RNAcentral lists this ribosomal RNA (468 nucleotides) under uncultured bacterium. RNAcentral's name for it is "partial 16S ribosomal RNA". It matches the Rfam family "Bacterial small subunit ribosomal RNA", at positions 28 to 523 of the family's 1533-position model. The record is from RNAcentral.
GAUGAACGCUGGCGGCGUGCCUAACACAUGCAAGUCGAGCGAUUUACUUCGGUAAAGAGCGGCGGACGGGUGAGUAACGCGUGGGUAACCUGCCCUGUACACACGGAUAACAUACUGAAAGGUAUGCUAAUACGGGAUAACAUAAGAGAGUCGCAUGGCUUUCUUAUCAAAGCUUUUGCGGUACAGGAUGGACCCGCGUCUGAUUAGCUAGUUGGUAAGGUAACGGCUAACCAAGGCGACGAUCAGUAGCCGACCUGAGAGGGUGAUCGGCCACAUUGGAACUGAGACACGGGCCAAACUCCAGCGGGAGGCAGCAGUGGGGAAUAUUGCACAAUGGGCGAAAGCCUGAUGCAGCAACGCCGCGUGAGCGAUGAAGGCCUUCGGGUCGUAAAGCUCUGUCCUCAAGGAAGAUAAUGACGGUACUUGAGGAGGAAGCCCCGGCUAACUACGUGCCAGCCGCCGCAGUAA